Macrobrachium nipponense is the source of this 3388-nucleotide long non-coding RNA. RefSeq lists it as uncharacterized. Lineage: Eukaryota; Metazoa; Arthropoda; Malacostraca; Decapoda; Palaemonidae. The transcript is spliced from 3 exons. The record is from RefSeq and is a predicted model, not a curated record.
CGAGAUGAUCAUGAGACACUUGACGCUCAAACGGACGCUAGCCGCGGUCGUAGCUUGCUACUCGUCAUGGCGUCGGCCGGUAUGCAAGAAGGGAGGGUAUCAUUGGCCAUGAUAUGAUUCCCUGAUGCUGUUAUCUAGAUCAAGUGUUAACUUUAGAUUUGUAAGUUUAUUUUUAUGCUCUCUUCACAUACGCCGCCGCCAGUUCAAUCGUGUUUUUGCAAAGAGUAGUGAGUGGGUCUGUCGAAAGCAGUGGCAUCAGAUAAAAAAAAAACCUGAAUCAGAUUGUUGUACAUACGCCCAGAAACGCCAAAAGGAGGAAAACAGCAACAUUCACCCUGUAGUGUAACAGCCUUUGAAGCUGAUAAGAAGCGCCUCAUCUUCUGACUUCACAUUAUAGAUCGUAAAGGGGAAUGCGAUCUCAAAAUGAAAAGGUGCAAAAGAACAAUUUUGAGGAUGAUAACUAUAUAGUUUACUUCAUUAAGAAUGACUUCACCUCGACAUGCUUCAUAAAAACUUUGAAAUUCCUUAUUUCUGAUAUUGCUUCUGCAGCGUCUUUAAAAAUGUUAUAUCCAGGUUGUCCCAACAGGAUGUUGAAGGAUAUGGAACCACGGAACAAUAGACCUAUAGUUUCUUGUUGAACCUUGUCCCAAAGGUCUAUCAUUGGUCUCCCCGACAGGUGUAAAAGCCUGUCGUAUAUCUCCUGAUGCAGAGACCACUCCGUCCCCAGAACCUGCCCCGACGACUUUGCUUGUCUGCCAAUACAUUCCUUUUGCCUGGAAUGUACCUGGCCAUGAGGUCCACUGAGUUGUCGAUGGCCCCCUGAUGCAACUGUAGUGUUAUCGAGUGAAGUUGGCGUGACACAUUUGCAAUUAAGGAAUAAACAUUGGACAGAUACUGCCCUUGGUAACUAUAGCACAUGGAAAUUAGAUAUGCAAAUUUAGAAAUGAAACUGAAGGUGUUUUUUUGGACCUUGGAUAAUUGAUAAUGAGGGACCAGUGUUCUGUAAAACUAUAUUUUUUAAAUAAACAGUACAGUGUGGUAGUGUCAGCCAUCUCAGUUGUACACAACCCUGUAAAAAAACCAAAUGCUAUCCACACAAUACACUUUACAAUGUUGGUGUAAUAUUACUUGAAUUUUUAGCAGUUAGUACCAUAUCUAUUACCAUUUGGUUAAAGUUGGAUGAUAAAAUCUGUUAGCUGUGACCUUAACUUUUAAGUACUGUGAAGUCCUGUAAGGUAGCCCAUGUUAAGAAAUUCUUCAAUUGAAGUCCUGUAUGGUGGUAGCCCUUGUUAAGAAAUUCUUCAGUUGGGGAGGCAGGGUUAGUUGUGAGGUGAACGUCAAGUGUGACAAGAUCUGAGAGUGCACUGAAGUGAAGUGUGUAACUUCAGCUGUAGGAGUAGUACAGUGUAAUUAGCUUUCAAGUUGCAGUGGAAAUACUUGCUAUAAGUAACAUAAAAUACACAACAGCUGUAUGUUCUAUGGGAGCAUGAUAGCUGAUUUAUUAAGUAGAGACUAAUGGAUUUUUGGCAUGGUGCGACAAAGGCGACAGGGCAGUGCCUUUAGGAAUGGGAAGAAAAUAAGUGAUCGUUUAUGUGGUAGUGGAAAGGUGUAGUGCACAGACUUGGGAUGGGUGAAAAGCGCAUAUUUUAGUUUAAAAAUAGCAUGGCAAGAAUGAGUGUGAAGCUUAUUUUAAUAGUGUUUUUGUGGGGGUUGGGGGCACCAGGAUUAGAGAGGAAACUUUGUGAGAGAUUGACUUGAUGUGUGGGGCUGAUGGCGGGGUUCCACUAGUAUUAGAAAGGAAUCGACAUUUUGUGAGAGAUUAAACUCAAUUCCCUAGGCCUAGGAGAUUGGAAAGCAUGAAAAGGGAGGUUUUGCAUCAUGUCUGAAUAUGAAUGUAGGCAAAGGAAAUGUAAGAUAAGUUGUAGAGGAUAGAUCAAACAUGCCAAGUAAUAGCAAUUUAUGAGAGAGAACAUGUAAGAAAAAAGUAAAGUAAUAACUCUUCAGCACUAUGCACUUCAUUCUGUUUUGGGGCAUUUUUAAUUGUGGCAUUAAUUUAUUAAAAUGAUGGGGAGAAAUCAGCAUACAUCAGUUUAGGCAACUUGGCAUCAGUCAGCAGUAGAUGUCAAAAAACCAUGAAAGCAAAACUAAAAGUAGAAAAGGCAAAAAUUACAUUAAAAACAAAAUGUUGAGUAUAUGUAAUAUUGAAAUGAUUUAAAAGCUGUAACUACUAAUUUUUCAGCAUUUGGCAGCAUGAUGGUGCUGUAUUCAAAUUUGGGUGUACUUGCUCGCAUGUUAUUUGCAGUCUUAUUUGAGUAAAAUCCUUAUCAUCUGUCCCCAUGGGUUCAAAGAAAGUUCCUGCAGCUGAAAUGUCUCAUCAAGCUUAGAAGCUAAGCAAUCAGCUGAGGAUGUCCCUCUCCCUGAUACCCUGAACUUAUUCAUACAAGAUAGGUUAACUAUGGAAUUUCGUCAGAUUUUUAUGGAGUAUCAGAACUACAUCUUUUUAAACUAUUGCAUAAGCAUUCAGAAUAUCACCCUAUAUAAGUAUCUGAAGGAAGAGCUGAAAGUAAGGUAGCCUGACAGAACGACCUAAGAAACAGCAUUAUAAUCUAGCGAAAUCAAUAAAAAUUGAUAAUAUUUCCAAAGCUUUGCAGUGUAAGUAAAAAAAGAAUCGAGAAUACUGCCAAAGCUUUGCAGUGUAGGAAAUAAGGCAUUUGGUCCUUGGAAGUGAGUGACAUCGUUAAGCCUGAACAGAAUGCGGAUGUAAACGCUCAACUUUUAAAAAAUGGUUGUUCACUCAAGGCGAAUGAUUUUAAUUGUAAUUCUACGCGUGAUAUUCUCCUCUUUUCAAAUAUUACCUUUUCACAAUUUUUCAAGGUAUAUCAAUUCCUUAAUAAUCGUGUAACGCUAGCGAAAAAGGUCACGGAAAACUGUUGAUAAUGUUGAUCAAAAUGGUUGUCUGGUGUGACGUGGCACCUAGACAUGCUUGCACAUGCGCAUUGUCUUGAUUAUCCAGCAAGCGGUCGGUUACGCGGAAACUAACUUGCGUUGAUAAGCGGCGCGAUUAUUCCCCGUUUUCUGUCGGUUUUCGGAGUUUCUUUUUAAUCGCGGCUUUUUUUUCUGUGUAUGAACUACAACACCGCGGUUUAAUCGAAGAAUGAAAUCACUGCCAACAACACAAAUGUCUCUAAUCAGACCAUUUUUGCUCGAGUCAAAAAGGGCGCCAUAUUAUCUCGACGGCGACCUUCACCUGACACGAUAGUCUGAUUUCUGCUGUCAUGCCUGACCCAAUAUUUUCGAAAGGAUCAACAGGUCCACCACCACCACCACCACCGCCGCCAUCCCAACUCUUAUUUAAUCACCUUCAGAAUCAGGUCGUUUAAGGUCAGUA